CCUACGGGAGGCUGCAGUGAGGAAUAUUGGUCAAUGGGCGAGAGCCUGAACCAGCCAAGUCGCGUGAAGGAUGAAGGAUCUAUGAGUUGUAAACUGCUUUUGUACGCGGGUAAACGCAGAUACGCGUAUCUGUCUGAAAGUAUCGUACGAAUAAGGAUCGGCUAACUCCGUGCCAGCAGCCGCGGUAAUACGGAGGAUUCAAGCGUUAUCCGGAUUUAUUGGGUUUAAAGGGUGCGUAGGCGGUCGGAUAAGUUAGAGGUGAAAUCCCGAGGCUCAACUUCGGAAUUGCCGUUGAUACUGUUCGGCUAGAGUGUAGUAGCGGUAUGCGGAAUGUAUGGUGUAGCGGUGAAAUGCUUAGAGAUCAUACAGAACACCGAUUGCGAAGGCAGCUUACCAAGCUACAUCUGACGUUGAGGCACGAAAGCGUGGGGAGCAAACAGGAUUAGAUACCCGAGUAGUC
This 460-nucleotide ribosomal RNA is filed under the name uncultured bacterium. RNAcentral's name for it is "partial 16S ribosomal RNA". It matches the Rfam family "Bacterial small subunit ribosomal RNA", at positions 338 to 795 of the family's 1533-position model. The record is from RNAcentral.